AACGCACCUUGCGCUCCUUGGUAUUCCGAGGAGCAUGCCUGUUUGAGUGUCAUUAAAUUCUCAACUCCGAUCGAUUUGUUUCGACCUCGGAGCUUGGACUUUGGAGUGUGCUGGCGUCGGUCGGCUCCUCUCAAAUGCAUCAGCGGAAUCUAACGUUUCGGACGUCAGUGUGAUAAUCACGUUGCGCUGUCAACCGAUCCUGAAAGGCCCGCUCAUAAUGGUCUUCGGACAACUUCAUAUCAAAUUUGACCUCAAAUCAGGUAGGACUACCCGCUGAACUUAA
This 283-nucleotide unclassified non-coding RNA is filed under the name Russula sp. RNAcentral describes it as "partial contains 5.8S ribosomal RNA, internal transcribed spacer 2, and large subunit ribosomal RNA". The stretch from base 1 to 52 matches the Rfam family "5.8S ribosomal RNA", at positions 103 to 154 of the family's 154-position model. The record is from RNAcentral. Lineage: Eukaryota; Fungi; Basidiomycota; Agaricomycetes; Russulales; Russulaceae. RNAcentral also lists the same sequence under 1 other name.